GCCUAUGAAUCAUUGUUGAAUUUAUUGAGAUAUUAAAGAAAAAUUUAGGUCGUUAUGUUUUGGAUUUAAAUUAUUGACUAAUUAUUCCGCUGUUGUUUUAAGAUAGCAUGAUAAGAUGCCUUGCAUGCUUAUGGGAAGAGUUUUCUAUGAGUAUGCGGCGGUUGCCAUAACCCUCGAUUCACAAUCUCGGAUCGGGGGCGUGACAAUUAUAGUGGUAUCAGAGCAUAAGUGGAUGAAUUGUGAAACAUAUAAUCAGAUAUAGAAUAGGUGUAAGUAGAUAGACACCAGGGACAUUAUAGUGUAGAUCUUUGAUGAUUGUAGUGGGAGAAAUAUUUAAAAAUUUUGAUUAAACAUUGAGAUUAUGUAUGAAAGGAUCACAAGAGAUUAUGACAUAUAGCAUUUGAAAUAUG
This 410-nucleotide long non-coding RNA is filed under the name Elaeis guineensis (African oil palm). RNAcentral describes it as "long non-coding RNA (EGUI_LNC055243)". The record is from RNAcentral. Lineage: Eukaryota; Viridiplantae; Streptophyta; Magnoliopsida; Arecales; Arecaceae.